CCUGGGUUUUCCUGACUCCAGGUUGUUCCCUCAGCCCUGGCUGAUGACGUCAAGUCCUGGAGCCUUUGACCUCCGACAGCCUCUGCCUCCCUUCCUCUGUCUGCCUCCAGCAUCCGUUUCUGUUGCUGAUGUCGGUGUCUGAGAUGCAGGCAUCUCCCUAACUUGCCAGGCUUGAUGAAGCUCAGUGGAUUUCUUUUAGUGAUGAUGGACAUAAUUAAUUUAGCAGAGGAGAUGCCUCAUUGCUGCCAGUGUCAAAUAAAAACGAGAAGGAAGACAGGUUGCACUCUAGCUCUGAACACGACGAUGAGCUCAGUCAGCCGGAGGGUCAAGUAUUCUUGGAAGAGGGAGGACCCCAGCUGAGGGCCUGGUUUGUUCUUAGCAAUGCCUCACGUGCACCUUGUCCUAAGCAGCAAGCAAUGAUGACAGCAGGCAUGGAGGCUGGGCCAUGGAAAGUGAGUGCUUGAUCCAGGCAGGUGAAAACAUUCCUGAGAAUAUGUCAGUAAGUGGCAUGCCAUUCAUUGGUUCUCAAACUUCAGUGUCUAUAUAGAUAAUCUAGAAGGCAUGCUUAAAAAAAUCCAGAUGCCUUCACCACAUUCCCAGAAGUUUAAAUUCAGUCUCUUUGGAGAGGGUCUUGGGAUCCUGAUGUUUAUCAGUCGUUCCACAUGAUUCUGGUGCAGAAGGUUCCAGAAACAUCGGCACAAGGGUUAUGUGCAUGAGCUCUGGAGUUUUUCAGUUGUGGUUUUGAAGCUGGUAUGACUCAACACAAGAGAUCUAGCCUCCUUAGUCUUUGCUUCCUCCUGCUGUGGAAUAAGCUGUAAUAUACCCACCUCAGAGGGUUAUUGAGGAACAUAUAGGACCACGCACAUAACAUUGCUUUACUUUUGAAUUGACAGUUUGCCAAGAGUAGGAGGCUCAGCCUUCAGGUGGAGGACCAGUCAGCAAUACUUGAACAGUUGCUUGGGGCUCCAAGUCCAGCAGAUGCCAACUCCAUCAGCAGGACCAACCACUCAGUCCUUCAAGGUUCAGCUGGGACAUCAUUGCCUCCAAGAAGCCUUCCUGUGGCUUUAUGCCUUGAGCUCCCACUACCUGCUGCAUCCCCUUCUAUGGAAACAUUUUUCACAUUGCACCAAAACAGUCUGCUGCUAUAUUUCUCUCCCUGAGCUGGACUGUGAGCUCUUCAGUGGAAGGGACAGUCUUGCUCAUCCUUGCUUCUCUAGGACCCAGCAUAUAGUGCAUUUUGCAUAGCUGUAAUCAGAAUAUCGAAGCAAUCUUGUAUUGCUUUUGCCUUCCCUUCACACAGUAAGCAUUUGUCAUGGUCUGCAGUCUUUAUCCUUAGCAUUUCUAAGGGUGCCUAAUGUUCUAUAGAAGUGUUGCUCUCUGAAUGUUUGAACUGUUCCCUUAUUAAAAGUCCUCCUUUAUUUGCUAUUAUAAAUAAUGUUGAGGAGAACCUUGUGUCCCUCCCUGGUUUGUACAGUGGACUGCUGCAGAUUAUCAAGAAAACCACUUGAUUCUAAUAGUAAAUAAUUUAAAUAGAUAAUUGUAAGAAGGUGGGAUGCAAUCCCCAACCACAUAAAAAAAUAGUCAACCUUACUAGGUAUAAAAUGCAAAAUAAAAUGAUGCCUGAUGUUCUAUCUACUAAAUUAGCAAACUUGAAAAUAAUGGUAAUUUCAAGCACUGAUAAUGACAUUAAGAAUUAGGCGCACUUGUUUAAACAUUGUCUUUGGGAGUGGAAAUUAGCACUAUUUGGCAAUGGGUUUAAAGAUUGGUAAUCCCACUGCUUGGCACACCAUGGUAAAGAAAUGACUUCUUGUACAAAUUGGAAGAAAUCGCAAGGCUGUUAAUGGUUACUCAUACUCUUUUGCAACACAGAGUCAUCUUCCCUGUAGAGAAGGCAGCUUCCGUAGCAUUCUAGCCCUGCAUGGUAUGAGUUCCAGACUGGAGGUGGAGGGAGAGAUAAGAGCAGCCUCCAUGAAGAUGUGAUGCUUGAUCUGAGACUUGCAGGGUCGGCAGCUCCUUGGCCAACAGAAGGGAGAGUGGGAAAAGGGAGAGAAUGUUAGUGGACCCCCCGGUGUGUAGAAGUUCAGCAAGAUUAAAAGCCAAUACAAGCAGUGCUUGGAAAUAAAGCAGAACCAUGCACCCAGCAACACCUUUGAUCUCGACCAUAUGGAGCCCCACCAAGCUCUGGAAAAAAAAUCUCCCUUGCCUCCACAGCCGGCCGAGAGAAGCGGGGGCCCCCAGAUGGCCAGAUACCAUGGGCGCCCGCACCCCAUGGCUUGUCUUGUCUUCUGAUUGGUCCCCAGUGCAAAGGCAGGGGACUCGCUUCUCACGCUGGAGGCAAAUCCGUGUCCCCAACGUUGGUGAGGUUGACAGUUUUCACAACUCGGUUUUGGGGGGGAAAUAUUUGAGUAAACAGCCCUGACCCUGUUGGGUUUGUUUUAGAGUGGAAUCUCACCAUCAGGACAGAGCAAAAAUGUCAUGGGCCCCUAGACCAGUGUGGAAAGCUCACUAAACCAUUUUUCCAGCUGAGGCUUUUUCCUCUCUUUCUUUUGUUAAAUCCUUGGGUCUCUAACUUUGCUGAUCAUCGUCUUGAGAAUUGACCACAUGGGAAGACUGAUUUACACACUGGGUCAGCCUGAGAAGGAAAAAGCCCAUGACCAAUGACAUCGGGGGGCCCAGAGGGAAGCCGGCUGAGGCAGAGGGAGCAAGUGGGCCGUGGCCAAGGGCCAAGGACCUGCAUCCUCAUCUUCCUCUCACCAGCAUGGGGAUUGGCAGGUUUAAGAGGCAGUUAGGAGAGGCAGGUGUGAGUAAUGGGAACAGCACUGGCUUUCACCAAGCAACCAGGUUCACGACAGCCGUCAUGUGACCUCGGGCACGUGACUCCACCUCUCUGUGAGGCAGUUUGCUCAUGGAUUCUUCUGCAAUUCUGAAACAUGAAAGUGCCAAAAGUCAACGCUUUGAUAAUUUCAUAGCAGACUCAUGUGGUGGCAAAGCCUGACCUGAGCUGACGUGAGACUAUUUGUAAUCUUUAUUUAUGCUGCUUAAUGCAGGUACUCAUUCAUUCUGCUGUGGAAAUAGUCCUGUCUGGGACAGUCGAAGGCUGCCCUAGACUCCAUUGGGAUAUUAUAUGUUUACUUUUGUAAAAUCCAAAAUAUCCUGGAUUCUAAACCACACUGGGCCCCAGGAAUUUAAGAAUAGGGAUUUUGGACCAGAGCCUUCCUCUGGGAUGUCAGUUAAUCAACCUAGAGCAGUGAUUCUCUCCAGGGUGAUUUUAUUCCCCAGGGAACAUGUACCAAUACCUGGAGACAUUUUUUAUGAUUGUAAUGUGUGUGUAGGGUUCCCACUGGCGUCUACUAGGCAGAGUCCAGGGAUGCUGCCAAACAUCCUACAAUACCAUAGGACAGACAAAGAAUACUCCAGUCCCAAAUGCCCAUCAUGCUGAGGGUGGGAAACCCUAAUCCAUAGAAUAGUACACAUUCUAGCUUUAUUCUUAUUUCACCACUCUGAGCUCCUCUUCCUUCAUCUGCCAAUUGGAGGGCAUGAACAACUGCCUCCAAGAGUUCUGGGGAAACCGUAUGAGACAGUAGACGUGACUGUGCCUUCUGAACUUUACCGCUCAAUAGAAAAAUGAAAGACAGUUUACUCAUUCAAAAAAUAAA
This 3656-nucleotide long non-coding RNA is filed under the name Homo sapiens (human). Its description in RNAcentral is "HSALNT0379075". The record is from RNAcentral. Lineage: Eukaryota; Metazoa; Chordata; Mammalia; Primates; Hominidae.